CGCAACACAGACCCAGCUCAUCAAUAUUUCAGGCCUCGAGCGCAGAGGUUCCAUGUUGUAGUAGUAGAUGAGGGACCUAUUCGUGUUUUUGCUCCAUUGAGACAUGGGGGCAGUGAGCCGGGAGAACAUGGCAGUGCGAGUGGGGGUGCUGAUCACUCACAGUGCAGAUGGCGGCCGUAAUGAGAGACUGGCGAUACGGGAGGAGCGCAGCGGCGUGGAUUACUCGGGCGAGGAAGACGGCGACGCCGCCGCGGUGAGAACACUUACGCGCGAACGCGCGACGCGUGAAAGUCA
Anguilla anguilla (European eel) is the source of this 294-nucleotide long non-coding RNA. RefSeq lists it as uncharacterized. The record is from RefSeq and is a predicted model, not a curated record. NCBI's taxonomy places the organism in Eukaryota, Metazoa, Chordata, Actinopteri, Anguilliformes, Anguillidae. The transcript has 3 exons.